GCGAUUGUGGUCCAGUGGUAGAGUUCUCAUCUUCCACGUGGGAGGCCUGGGUUCAAUUCCUGGCCCAUGCA
RNAcentral lists this transfer RNA (71 nucleotides) under Loxodonta africana (African savanna elephant). It matches the Rfam family "tRNA". Rfam says of the family: Transfer RNA (tRNA) molecules are approximately 80 nucleotides in length. Their secondary structure includes four short double-helical elements and three loops (D, anti-codon, and T loops). Further hydrogen bonds mediate the characteristic L-shaped molecular structure. tRNAs have two regions of fundamental functional importance: the anti-codon, which is responsible for specific mRNA codon recognition, and the 3' end, to which the tRNAs corresponding amino acid is attached (by aminoacyl-tRNA synthetases). tRNAs cope with the degeneracy of the genetic code in two manners: having more than one tRNA (with a specific anti-codon) for a particular amino acid; and 'wobble' base-pairing, i.e. permitting non-standard base-pairing at the 3rd anti-codon position. The record is from Rfam by way of RNAcentral. Lineage: Eukaryota; Metazoa; Chordata; Mammalia; Proboscidea; Elephantidae.